GCGCGCUUGNAAAGCUUCGUUGNGAUGCACGNUCAUGACAGGACUCAGAGACCCGGCUAACUCCUGUGCCAGCACGCCGCNAAUCAAGACGGCAAGUGUUCUUCGGAAUGACUGGGCGUAAGCACGUAGCGCGGNGAAUCAGGUUGAAAGUGAAAGUCGCCAACUGGCGGAAUGCUCUCGACCAAUUCACUUGGGUGAGACANACGAGAGUGGAAUUUCGUGUGUAGGGGUGAAAUCCAGAUCUACGAAGGAACGCCAAAANCGAAGGCAGCUCUCUGNGUCUACCAGACGCNUGGGGUGCGAAGCAUGUGGAGCAACNGGUUAGAACCCUGGGCGUCCAUGCCGUNAAACCAUNNGUGUUCCACCUUGCACGGAUCUGGGCCCAGCUAACGCNUGAAACACCUCCGCCUGGGAGUACGGUCNCAAGACCGANACUCAGAUGANUNUGACGG
This 452-nucleotide ribosomal RNA is filed under the name uncultured Alphaproteobacteria bacterium. RNAcentral describes it as "partial 16S ribosomal RNA". It matches the Rfam family "Bacterial small subunit ribosomal RNA", at positions 415 to 916 of the family's 1533-position model. The record is from RNAcentral. Lineage: Bacteria; Pseudomonadati; Pseudomonadota; Alphaproteobacteria.